This 107-nucleotide ribosomal RNA is filed under the name Tepidimonas aquatica. Lineage: Bacteria; Pseudomonadati; Pseudomonadota; Betaproteobacteria; Burkholderiales. The record is from RNAcentral.
UGACGACCAUAGCAAGGUGGUCCCACCCCUUCCCAUCCCGAACAGGACCGUGAAACACCUUCGCGCCGAUGAUAGUGCGCCCCCAAGCGCGUGAAAGUAGGUCAUCG